Molecule: long non-coding RNA, 1374 nt
Organism: Brassica napus (rape)
Lineage: Eukaryota; Viridiplantae; Streptophyta; Magnoliopsida; Brassicales; Brassicaceae
Exons: 8
Source: RefSeq, a predicted model, not a curated record
AAAUAGGUUGGUUCUGUUCUUUGUCUCUCUCGAAACCUCUCUGUCUUCGACGAUUCCAUCAUCGUAACGGUUUUGUUCUUUCGAUUCGUCUCCAUCAAGCAAUCCUCUCUCUCUCUCUCUCUCUCUCUCUCUCAGCAUCGCAGAGGCUACGAACGUUCGUGAGAUUGAGAGCGACAUCGAAAGGGACGCAUGGAGAGAGAUUAGACUGGGGUUAUGACCGCCGAGCUUAGAAGUUUUCUGGAGUUGAAUCUUCCUAAGGUCAAAGAAGGCAAGAAACCCAAGUUCAGCUUAGGAACCUCUGAGCCUAAACUCGGUUCCCACAUAUUGGAAGCCACCAAAAUCCCCUGCCAGAGCAAUGAGUUCGUUCUUGAGCUUCUCCGUGGUGUGCGUCUGCAUUUUGACAGCAUGGUGAUCUGGAAAAGUCUUUUCCUUGACCUCGUCUAAAGACAAGGGAGCUGAGUCAGAUGCCGAGUUCUAGAGUCAGAUGAUGAUGCUCAGGAAUGGUUUUGUAAUGGGAAGGACAACGGAUUCGGUUGAUCAUUUCCACAACUUGAGGCUUGAUGUUGAUAGUAUGUCAUACGAGGUUGGUUUAAUUGAAGGGCGAGUUGGUGUCCAUCAUCUGGAUGAUUCUCAACAGAACAAGAACUUCACAUUCAAAUGUCAACAGAGAUGGGAAUGAGAUCUAUUCUAUCAACGCUCUGAACUUCCACCCGAGGAUUUCGACGAAGCGAUUUUAUACCAAAGAAAAAACCUGAUCAGUGCGAAUCAAGGACGUCGGUGCCCAAAACUCACAGGAGUGGGAGCUUCCACAGUGUUCACAAGAUAUUGUUGGGAGUACUUUAACCUUCCAAUUGAACCUAUCCCACUUCAACUUGACUGCAAAGCAUCAGAGCUUCACUGUUUCCCACAUUUAGGAACCGAUCAGCGUCCACCGCAGUCUAAUUUGGAGGUUCUGGGUGGGAAUAACAAUCUGAGAGAUGAUAUGUAAGGUGCUGGAGCAGUCAAAAAGAGCAACGUUUCUGGUGUUAAAAUAACCUAUGUGGAUCAUGGUACCUGUGUUGGCGAUGAAGCGGUUGAAGGUGGACUAGCUGAUGCAACUGCUUCAGGUCACAACUCUGUUAAUUGAAGGGAGAGGAGAGGAGUCACCAGUGAAGGAAGAUGGGUGCUCAGGAAAGAAGGCACCAAUCGAUUGACAUCGAAAGAGCAAGGGGAACCAAAGUUACAAGACACGAUGAUUUUUCGUUGCAUUUCCAGACAUUAUCAUAUCAAGUCCGAUUACUUUAAAAAAUUUAUAUCAUUGGUUUCCUUGGGUUUUUAAACUCCACCAUAUCAGACAUUUUCAGUUAUAAAAUAAGGUGUCCUGUUUGCCAAAAA